UACGUAGGGUGCAAGCGUUAAUCGGAAUUACUGGGCGUAAAGCGUGCGCAGGCGGUUAUGCAAGACAGAUGUGAAAUCCCCGGGCUCAACCUGGGAACUGCAUUUGUGACUGCAUGGCUAGAGUGCGGCAGAGGGGGAUGGAAUUCCGCGUGUAGCAGUGAAAUGCGUAGAUAUGCGGAGGAACACCGACGGCGAAGGCAAUCCCCUGGGCCUGCACUGACGCUCAUGCACGAAAGCGUGGGGAGCAAACAGG
Molecule: ribosomal RNA, 253 nt
Filed under: uncultured bacterium
Lineage: Bacteria
Description: partial 16S ribosomal RNA
Rfam family: Bacterial small subunit ribosomal RNA
Source: RNAcentral